GACGAACGCUGGCGGCGUGCUUAACACAUGCCAGUCGAACGGUGAAGCGCCUUCCUUUUUGGUGGGUGUGGAUGGGUGGCGAACGGGUGAGUAACACGUGAGUAACCUGCCCCCUUCUUCUGGAUAACCGCAUGAAAGUGUGGCUAAUGCGGGAUAUUCUGGGUCUGUCGCAUGAUGGGUCUGGGAAAGAUAUUGUUUCGGUGGGGGAUGGGCUCGCGGCCUAUCAGCUUGUUGGUGGGGUGAUGGCCUACCAAGGCGGUGACGGGUAGCCGGCCUGAGAGGGUGGACGGUCACACUGGGACUGAGACACGGCCCAGACUCCUACGGGAGGCAGCAGUGGGGAAUAUUGCACAAUGGGCGCAAGCCUGAUGCAGCGACGCCGCGUGAGGGAUGGAGGCCUUCGGGUUGUGAACCUCUUUCGCCAGUGAAGCAGGCCUGCCUCGUUUGUGGGUGGGUUGACGGUAGCUGGAUAAGAAGCGCCGGCUAACUACGUG
This 494-nucleotide ribosomal RNA is filed under the name uncultured bacterium. RNAcentral describes it as "partial 16S ribosomal RNA". It matches the Rfam family "Bacterial small subunit ribosomal RNA", at positions 28 to 507 of the family's 1533-position model. The record is from RNAcentral.